This 433-nucleotide ribosomal RNA is filed under the name uncultured bacterium. Its description in RNAcentral is "partial 16S ribosomal RNA". It matches the Rfam family "Bacterial small subunit ribosomal RNA", at positions 29 to 507 of the family's 1533-position model. The record is from RNAcentral.
AACGAACGCUGGCGGCAUGCCUAACACAUGCAAGUCGAACGAGACCUUCGGGUCUAGUGGCGCACGGGUGCGUAACGCGUGGGAACCUGCCCUUAGGUUCGGAAUAACUCCCCGAAAGGGGUGCUAAUACCGGAUAAUGUCUUCGGACCAAAGAUUUAUCGCCUUUGGAUGGGCCCGCGUUGGAUUAGCUAGUUGGUAGGGUAAAAGCCUACCAAGGCGACGAUCCAUAGCUGGUCUGAGAGGAUGAUCAGCCACACUGGGACUGAGACACGGCCCAGACUCCUACGGGAGGCAGCAGUGGGGAAUAUUGGACAAUGGGCGAAAGGAUGAUCCAGCAAUGCCGCGUGAGUGAUGAAGGCCUUAGAGUUGUAAAGCUCUUUUACCCGGGAUGAUAAUGACAGUACCGGGAGAAUAAGCUCCGGCUAACUCCGUG